Molecule: ribosomal RNA, 484 nt
Filed under: uncultured bacterium
Lineage: Bacteria
Description: partial 16S ribosomal RNA
Rfam family: Bacterial small subunit ribosomal RNA
Source: RNAcentral
AUUGAACGCUGGCGGCAGGCCUAACACAUGCAAGUCGAGCGGAUGGAGGGAGCUUGCUCCUGGAUUCAGCGGCGGACGGGUGAGUAAUGCCUAGGAAUCUGCCUGGUAGUGGGGGAUAACGUCCGGAAACGGGCGCUAAUACCGCAUACGUCCUGAGGGAGAAAGUGGGGGAUCUUCGGACCUCACGCUGUCAGAUGAGCCUAGGUCGGAUUAGCUAGUUGGUGGGGUAAAGGCCUACCAAGGCGACGAUCCGUAACUGGUCUGAGAGGAUGAUCAGUCACACUGGAACUGAGACACGGUCCAGACUCCUACGGGAGGCAGCAGUGGGGAAUAUUGGACAAUGGGCGAAAGCCUGAUCCAGCCAUGCCGCGUGUGUGAAGAAGGUCUUCGGAUUGUAAAGCACUUUAAGUUGGGAGGAAGGGCAGUAAGUUAAUACCUUGCUGUUUUGACGUUACCAACAGAAUAAGCACCGGCUAACUUCGUG